CGACCGGCGCACGGGUGAGUAACGCGUAUGUAAUCUACCUGUAACAGAGGGAUAACCCGGAGAAAUCCGGACUAAUACCUCAUAGCACAUAUUAUUCGCAUGAAUUUUAUGUUAAAGAGACUCGGUUACAGAUGAACAUGCGUUCCAUUAGCUAGUUGGCGGGGUUACGGCCCACCAAGGCAACGAUGGAUAGGGGUUCUGAGAGGAAGGUCCCCCACACUGGUACUGGGACACGGACCAG
Molecule: ribosomal RNA, 241 nt
Filed under: uncultured bacterium
Lineage: Bacteria
Description: partial 16S ribosomal RNA
Rfam family: Bacterial small subunit ribosomal RNA
Source: RNAcentral